GAGUUUGAUCCUGGCUCAGGAUGAACGCUGGCGGCGUGCUUAACACAUGCAAGUCGAGCGAAGCGCUUUACUUUGAUUUCUUCGGAUUGAAAAGUGUUGCGACUGAGCGGCGGACGGGUGAGUAACGCGUGGGCAACCUGCCUCAUACAGGGGGAUAACAGUUAGAAAUGACUGCUAAUACCGCAUAAGACCACAGUACCGCAUGGUAUAGUGGUAAAAACUCCGGUGGUAUGAGAUGGGCCCCGCGUCUGAUUAGGUAGUUGGUGGGUAACGGCCUACCAAGCCGACGAUCAGUAGCCGACCUGAGAGGGUGACCGGCACAUUAGGACUGAGAUACGGCCCAGACUCCUACGGGAGGCAGCAGUGGGGAAUAGUUGGGCAAUGGACGCAAGUCUGACCCAGCAACGCCGCGUGAAGGAAGAAGGCUUUCGGGUUGUAAACUUCUUUUGUCAGGGAAGAGUAGAAGACGGUACCU
Molecule: ribosomal RNA, 475 nt
Filed under: uncultured bacterium
Lineage: Bacteria
Description: bacterial SSU rRNA
Rfam family: Bacterial small subunit ribosomal RNA
Source: RNAcentral